AUUGCUUGCGUGCACCAUCCGACUUUUUCAGUUAUUUUAAGGGCUUUUUUUGCAAAUAGCCCCCUGAAUAAUUUUUAUUUUAAAAAUAGUCCUAUCAAAAUUAAAAUUGCAAAAAUGGCCCUGUCCAUGCCACGCAGGCGCCACGUCAGCGCCACGCGGGCAGGGCUGGAGUCAGGGUAUUAAGUUGAACACGGUGAAUCAUUCACCGUGUCUAAACACGGUGAAUGGUUCACCGUGUUUCUUACGUAUUUUUUGUAUAUUGAAAAGUGGAAUAAGGAGUAGGGAUGUCAAUAGGUAUGGAUAUCCGAAAUAUUAUCCGAAUCCAAAUUCGAAUAAAUUAUAUAUAUAUACGUAAUUUAUUUUUGNAGGGACGUGUAUGCAAAUAACCCUUUAAUUUAUUUAGUUACAUUUUUUUUUUACUUUAAUAUAUAUAUAUAUAUAUAUAUAUAUAUAAAUAUAAUUAAGCUAGAAUUAUACUUUUAAAAGUAUCAAUUCUUUGAUGUUUCUAGAUUUCUAACAUUUAGAUCUACUCCUUGAUUAUUAAUAGUCCUUGAAUUAAACAUUAUUCCACCUACCAUCACCUACCACCAUCAUCCCAACCUUAUAUCUCUCCAUUCAAUGGCUAAAAACUCAAAAACACCACCCUCUUACUGCGAGAGUAUUCUAGCUCAACUAUAUAUAUAUAUAUAUAUAUAUGCUACUAUACUAUCAAUAGUACCAAGCCCUUGGUACUAUUGAAUUUUCGGCUGUUGGAUGAAAGGAUGUGCGGUUAGGAUGAUAGUGAUCCCCGGUUAAAUUGAUAGUGGUCCCCUAGGGUUGAGUGGGUGGUUGGUUUAAUAGUAUAAUCUAACGGGUGGAAAUGAUCCAAGGGUAAAUCUAACGGUAGAAAAUUCAAUAGUACCAAAGGCUUGGUAUUGUCGAUAGUAUAGUAGCUGGACUCUAUAUAUAUGUUAGAAUUUGAUCUAAUUUAUAGUUAAACUCUAAUUAAAUUAAAUUAAAAUAAAUAUUUAAAUUCGUUAAAAAUAAAUUAAUUAAAAUUUAAAUAUUAAUUAAAUUAAGAUUCUAGUUGGACUAAAAUUUGAAUAACUUUUGAUGUAAGAUAUAAAUAUAGUAUAAAUAUAUUUUUUUUAGUGGUGAUACGUUUAGUCACAGCUUACAUGAUAUGACCAAGGUGUUCAUAAUUUUGAAAGCACCUAAUGCAUGGACGCAAGAAAAUAUGUGCAGUUUUUAUGGCCGUGGUCGGUGUACAGAUGAAAGAAAAACUUUUUGAAUUUAUGUAAGACGAGAGAGGAAAAGUAUUCUAAAUUUAUGUGAGAUGAGAGAGGGGGUUUGAUUUUUUUUCUUCUGUGGUUGUGCUUUAAGUUAUUACUAAGAAGACGACUUUACAGUAAAAAUUCGAUUUGGAGUUUUCGUUGCAAAAUUCUAGCAAUCAGUGUUGAAGCAAGUACCAAAAUCCCAACAAACGAUGCCGGAGCGAGAACCAAGUCAACAAUAGUCGAUAUUAAAGCGAAUUGCAAAUUCUCAACCAUAUUUUAAAAAAUGCUACAUGUAGAUUCUUUAUAAGGGUAUACAUUUUACACCCUUUAAAUCCAAACCAUACAUUUUUAUAAGAUAAGUGGAUUAAUAUGAUAGCAUUGUUAAUAUGAUCCAUGAAAAA
This 1657-nucleotide long non-coding RNA is filed under the name Ananas comosus (pineapple). RNAcentral describes it as "long non-coding RNA (ACOM_LNC032741)". The record is from RNAcentral. Lineage: Eukaryota; Viridiplantae; Streptophyta; Magnoliopsida; Poales; Bromeliaceae.